CCUCCUACUAUGAGCAGGAGCGAGCAGCGCACCACCAUCAACCUCUCCCAUUAUGGGAGCCGAUGCUCCUACUAUGACUGACUUGAUGUGAGGACCGGCAUCCAGGAAGCGCAAACUUGGCUCUUCAUCAUCUACCGCUCCUGGGAUACCAUCGUCAACUGAAACUGUUCAGACAUCUGCUCCAGCUCCUGAUAUCCAGCCGACGACUGUCCAGAGGGUAGAAGAAACUCAAAUUUUGCCUAUCACUUCAUCGGCUGUUAGUUCUUCUGAUCCAUAUGCGCAACCAUCAGCCAAUGAGACGUUUCCCCAAAUGCCUACAUCAGGCUCAUCGGCCAUUGUUCCUUCUGUUCACUAAGAAAUCCAAUUGAAAAAAGCAUAUCUCUUUACCUCAGUCUUUUGCAUUAAUUUUAACAAUUAGUUUCUAAUCUUAUCUUUAAUCUUGCAGGCCCAAGAUUCUCCGUCCGAUAGUCUCUUCUCCUUCAAUGUUGAUGAUUUCAUGGCUGAAGACGAAGUAGGCCCUUCAAGCACAUCGACUCAACAAACAAUAGUGACACCCUUAGCCGAUGAGGUGAAGAAUCGACUUCAAGAGAUGUUGGCUUUUCUGGACUAGAAUAUAAUCGAAUUGGUUCAAGAUGCUGAGCUGAUCUGCACCAUUCUUCAAUCUGUCAGAAAUCACCUGACCCCAGAACUUGAAUCAGCCAUCAUACCUGCAGCUUUUAUUGAAGGCCAUCAAUUCCAAGUUUUUCAAGCACAACAACGCUUGGCCGAUCGAUCUGCUCAGCAAGGUAUGAUCAAUCAAAGGGACACCGGUCGACAGGAAGUUGCAGAAUUGAAGAAAAAAUCAACACCCUCGGAGAAGCCCCAGCCUAGAUCAACCAGGAACUCGAUCGACUUAGAGUCAGAGAGGCCUAGCUUCUAGAAGAACUAGAGGACGUCCGAGUCGCCAUCAACGAUCAAGAGCAGAAACUGAAUCAACUUCCAGAAACUGUCGGUAAAAUCAGAGAAGAGGUGGUCCUUAAGAUUCAUCAAGCUCGCACUCUUCAUCAAAGUAUCAAACCGAUUCCAGAAACUGUUGAAGACGAUAAUCGGAUAAUUGAUGAAAUUGACCAGAUCCGCCUGCGUGCGGUGAACGCGAUCCAGAAAACUCUAGGAUCAUUGUAAAAACUAUGCCCUUCAUCUGGUUAACUUGAAAAACUCCAUGAUGCUUAAUGAUGAACAACGUUUCUUUUUGUAAUA
This is a long non-coding RNA of Setaria italica (foxtail millet), 1236 nucleotides long. RefSeq lists it as uncharacterized. The transcript is spliced from 2 exons. The record is from RefSeq and is a predicted model, not a curated record. NCBI's taxonomy places the organism in Eukaryota, Viridiplantae, Streptophyta, Magnoliopsida, Poales, Poaceae.